Long non-coding RNA from Panthera uncia (snow leopard), 943 nucleotides. RefSeq lists it as uncharacterized. The transcript has 3 exons. Lineage: Eukaryota; Metazoa; Chordata; Mammalia; Carnivora; Felidae. The record is from RefSeq and is a predicted model, not a curated record.
UUCAGAUGUCUUUUCUCAAAGUUGAGGACUUCUUCAAUGAAAAAGACUGUCUCCACCAGCAUUUUCCUCCCCUGGGUCAUCUUGGAGGUCUGCAUGUAGGCUGUGAUUCUGUGGGGCUCUGCUGGAUCAGCUUGCUUGAUUCCAGGCCCAGGUCUGUUGUAUGUAUCUCCUCAUCCUGGGACCAUUGGCUACGCAAGGUUUGAUCUUCUCACGGUCGAUGGCAGAAGUUCAAGAGAUCAAGCAGAGUCACAGAGGCACAUUUAAAGCCUCUGCUUCCAUUGCAUCUACUCACACUACUGGCCAUAGCAAGUCACAUGACCAAGACUGACAACCACGGGUCAGAAAGAACACUCUACCCACAGUGAGAAAAUGUCAAAAAUCUUCACCAGCUGGGUUCCGAUGCCUUUGUUCAAUAAAGGUAGAGAUAAUAACUGUCUCUAAAAAGAAAAUGUGCCGAGGUUCCCAGGAGAAGUGGUGGAAACAAAUCUUUUAUUAAAUCAUAUCAAAUUGUGUUUCUUGUUUACUUUUCUCAUUUUGUAAGUCACAGUCAUAUCUGCUAGUUUUGGUAAACCUUGCCUCACAGUCGUAAAAAAAAAACAAAACAAAAAAACCUCCCAGCAAUUUGGAGGCUUGGUGUUGUUAAAGCUAAAUGCUGUGUGAUCAAUCGGGGUGAUAAAUUUCACACAAUUAACUGCCGUGAUGACAUUUCUGAGUCUGUUCGUCUAUUUUCCCCCGCUGACAUGUUAGGAGAUUGGUUAACUUCUGCCUAUAUUUGCAGAUGUUCUAUGGAUGCCUAGAAAAAGAACAGCAGGAAAAUGUAGUCAAUAUCUGGAGUUUUUACCUGUUCACAAAUUUGUGACCCUUAGAGUAAUAACAUCUCAAUUUUCCUUUGAGGGCAGGUGGUUCACAUAGGCUAGCUCUAUUCCUACUGCGAGGAGAGGCG